RNAcentral lists this ribosomal RNA (465 nucleotides) under uncultured Comamonadaceae bacterium. Its description in RNAcentral is "bacterial SSU rRNA". It matches the Rfam family "Bacterial small subunit ribosomal RNA", at positions 338 to 795 of the family's 1533-position model. Lineage: Bacteria; Pseudomonadati; Pseudomonadota; Betaproteobacteria; Burkholderiales; Comamonadaceae. The record is from RNAcentral.
CCUACGGGCGGCUGCAGUGGGGAAUUUUGGACAAUGGGCGCAAGCCUGAUCCAGCAAUGCCGCGUGCAGGAUGAAGGCCUUCGGGUUGUAAACUGCUUUUGUACGGAACGAAACGGCUCUUUCUAAUAAAGAGGGCUAAUGACGGUACCGUAAGAAUAAGCACCGGCUAACUACGUGCCAGCAGCCGCGGUAAUACGUAGGGUGCGAGCGUUAAUCGGAAUUACUGGGCGUAAAGCGUGCGCAGGCGGUUAUAUAAGACAGAUGUGAAAUCCCCGGGCUCAACCUGGGACCUGCAUUUGUGACUGUAUAGCUAGAGUACGGUAGAGGGGGAUGGAAUUCCGCGUGUAGCAGUGAAAUGCGUAGAUAUGCGGAGGAACACCGAUGGCGAAGGCAAUCCCCUGGACCUGUACUGACGCUCAUGCACGAAAGCGUGGGGAGCAAACAGGAUUAGAUACCCCUGUAGUC